UCGUGCUAGACGGGGAGCUAGCGGUGCCCUGAACCCGAAAUCCGCUUAUGCGGGGUUGAAUAUCCUUAAUGAGGCCUUGUGCAGCGGCAGUUCACUUCGUUGCCUUGGGGGAGGGAUGGACCUCACGUGACAGGCGCUUGUGAACCCCGUCAGGUCCGGGAGGAAGCAGCGGUAAACGAGAGAGCCUGUGUCGUGCAGAUUUCUAUCUUUUUUCUCCAGGCGAUGGAGCCUGUGCUGUGACGGGUCGAAUCAGGAUGCACGG
Molecule: signal recognition particle RNA, 262 nt
Filed under: Desulfobacteraceae bacterium
Lineage: Bacteria; Pseudomonadati; Thermodesulfobacteriota; Desulfobacteria; Desulfobacterales; Desulfobacteraceae
Description: signal recognition particle sRNA large type
Rfam family: Bacterial large signal recognition particle RNA
About the family: The signal recognition particle (SRP) is a universally conserved ribonucleoprotein involved in the co-translational targeting of proteins to membranes. Archaeal SRP consists of a 7S RNA and homologues of the eukaryotic SRP19 and SRP54 proteins.
Source: RNAcentral